CUACAAGGGGAGGCAGGUCUGUGAGGGACUACACAGGGAGGCAGGUCAGUCAGGGACUACAAGGGGAGGCAGGUCUGUGAGGGACUACACAGGGAGGCAGGUCUUUGAGGGACUACAGGGGAGGCAGGUCUGUGAGGGACUACACAGGGAGGCAGGUCUGUGAGGGACUACACAGGGAGGCAGGUCUGUGAGGGACUACACAGGGAGGCAGGUCUGUGAGGGACUACACAGGGAGGCAGGUCAGUCAGGGACUACAGGGGAGGCAGGUCUGUGAGGGACUACAGGGGAAGCAGGUCAGUCAGGGACUACAGGGGAGGCAGGUCAGUGAGGGACUACAGGGGGAGGCAGGUCUGUGAGGGACUACAGGGGAGGCAGGUCAGUCAGGGACUACAGGGGAGGCAGGUCUGUGAGGGACUACAGGGGGAGGCAGGUCUGUGAGGGACUACAGGGGGAGGCAGGUCUGUGAGGGACUAUAGGGGGAGGCAGGUCUGUCAGGGACUACAGGGUGAGGCAGGUCUGUGAGGGACUACAGGGUGAGGCAGGUCUGUGAGGGACUACAGGGUGGGGCAGGUCUGUGAGGGUCACAGUGGAAUUACUGAGGACACCAAGCAGCAGGGGACAGAAGAGUCAAUAAACAGAGAGACUGCAACACUUUGAUAACAUUUCACAGAAGUUGUAGAGGGAAAGACAGACAGGGAGCUAAAUAAAGAGACAGCGGAAGAAAAGAGAGAAAAUGAGAGAUACAGAGAGUGGGAGAGGGAAUGAGAAUGAAAGAGGUAGAGAAAGAGAAGGAGUUAUGGGAACACUUGUCAUGUUCCAAAUGAUGGACCCAUACAGCAAGACUUGUCACAUCCGAUCCUGUGUAAACCAUUAUCUCUCCAAGGAACCCUAGAAAACCACCAGACUAGAGGAUGAAGUAGAACUCAUAAAGAUGCAAAAUAAUAAUCUUCCUGGGGUCCAAAAGCUCAUUGUUUAGCAUCAUCCCACUCACUAACAGCACAAGUACAGGUGUAUACACUCACCCGCUCAAUAACUGCACAAGUACAGCUGUAUAUGAGGACUCAACCCACUCUAACAGUAUAUGUAUUGCUGGUUAUGAGCAGUCAUCCCACACUCUAGAGAAAGGGAGAGACAGAGAAAGAGAGAAAGGAAAAUAGAACAAGUGAAUGUUAUGACAAAGGGACCUUGAACAUAUGUCCUUCUGUCCAGAUGGUCCUGGCAUGUUGCGACACCCUGGGAGGUGACAGAGAGUCCUGUGCCCUUGUCGGGUCUACCUUCAGCAUAUCCCAAAAUGUCACCCUGUUCCUUUAGACAAGGAGCCGGGUUAGGAUGGCGUCAUGGACGCCCUCCUCAACAGCCAGGGGUUCAAUCUGAAAGCUAAUCAGGAAGUGUGUUACUCGACGGGAGCGACGACUCCCCCGGUCCCAUUUAUUUCACAUAGUCAGCAACACAGGGCUGCAUUGAAACCGACAGGGAAGGUGCACAGUUUUUACUGCUGCAGGUCAGAAAGGUUGCAGAGGCGCGG
This is a long non-coding RNA of Esox lucius (northern pike), 1525 nucleotides long. NCBI's taxonomy places the organism in Eukaryota, Metazoa, Chordata, Actinopteri, Esociformes, Esocidae. The record is from Ensembl.